This 1345-nucleotide ribosomal RNA is filed under the name uncultured bacterium. Its description in RNAcentral is "bacterial SSU rRNA". It matches the Rfam family "Bacterial small subunit ribosomal RNA", at positions 28 to 1381 of the family's 1533-position model. The record is from RNAcentral.
GAUGAACGCUAGCGGGAGGCCUAACACAUGCAAGCCGAGCGGUAUUGUUUCUUCGGAAAUGAGAGAGCGGCGUACGGGUGCGGAACACGUGUGCAACCUGCCUUUAUCUGGGGGAUAGCCUUUCGAAAGGAAGAUUAAUACUCCAUAAUAUAUUGAACGGCAUCGUUUAAUAUUGAAAGCUCCGGCGGAUAGAGAUGGGCACGCGCAAGAUUAGCUAGUUGGUGAGGUAACGGCUCACCAAGGCGAUGAUCUUUAGGGGGCCUGAGAGGGUGAUCCCCCACACUGGUACUGAGACACGGACCAGACUCCUACGGGAGGCAGCAGUGAGGAAUAUUGGUCAAUGGGUGCAAGCCUGAACCAGCCAUCCCGCGUGAAGGACGACUGCCCUAUGGGUUGUAAACUUCUUUUGUAUAGGGAUAAACCUACCCUCGUGAGGGUAGCUGAAGGUACUAUACGAAUAAGCACCGGCUAACUCCGUGCCAGCAGCCGCGGUAAUACGGAGGGUGCAAGCGUUAUCCGGAUUUAUUGGGUUUAAAGGGUCCGUAGGCGGACUUAUAAGUCAGUGGUGAAAGCCUGUCGCUUAACGAUAGAACUGCCAUUGAUACUGUAAGUCUUGAGUAUAUUUGAGGUAGCUGGAAUAAGUAGUGUAGCGGUGAAAUGCAUAGAUAUUACUUAGAACACCAAUUGCGAAGGCAGGUUACCAAGAUAUAACUGACGCUGAGGGACGAAAGCGUGGGGAGCGAACAGGAUUAGAUACCCUGGUAGUCCACGCCGUAAACGAUGCUAACUCGUUUUUGGGCUUUAGGGUUCAGAGACCAAGCGAAAGUGAUAAGUUAGCCACCUGGGGAGUACGCUCGCAAGAGUGAAACUCAAGGGAAUUGACGGGGGCCCGCACAAGCGGUGGAUUAUGUGGUUUAAUUCGAUGAUACGCGAGGAACCUUACCAAGACUUAAAUGGGAAUUGACAGCUUUAGAAAUAGAGCUUUCUUCGGACAAUUUUCAAGGUGCUGCAUGGUUGUCGUCAGCUCGUGCCGUGAGGUGUUAGGUUAAGUCCUGCAACGAGCGCAACCCCUGUCACUAGUUGCCAUCAUUCAGUUGGGGACUCUAGUGAGACUGCCUACGCAAGUAGAGAGGAAGGUGGGGAUGACGUCAAAUCAUCACGGCCCUUACGUCUUGGGCCACACACGUAAUACAAUGGCCGGUACAGAGGGCAGCUACACAGCGAUGUGAUGCAAAUCUCGAAAGCCGGUCUCAGUUCGGAUUGGAGUCUGCAACUCGACUCUAUGAAGCUGGAAUCGCUAGUGAUCGCGCAUCAGCCAUGGCGCGGUGAAUACGUUCCCGGGCCU